GUCAGCAGCCAUACCACCUGCAUUCCAGAUUUGGCUAAGGGGAAGUUAAGAAAGUUAGGGCCUGGUAAGUUCUUGAAUGAGAGACCAACUAGGAAAACUGGACUGCUGUUGGAA
RNAcentral lists this ribosomal RNA (114 nucleotides) under Paramormyrops kingsleyae. The record is from RNAcentral. Lineage: Eukaryota; Metazoa; Chordata; Actinopteri; Osteoglossiformes; Mormyridae.